This 678-nucleotide unclassified non-coding RNA is filed under the name Hevea brasiliensis (rubber tree). Lineage: Eukaryota; Viridiplantae; Streptophyta; Magnoliopsida; Malpighiales; Euphorbiaceae. The record is from RNAcentral.
GGCUCAUUCUUUUCUGCACCCGUUGGUGAGCAAUUUCAAGAAUUUGGGUCGUUAUUUUCAGCUAAAUACAGCACCAAUGGAGACGGAUGUGUUGAUACGGGGAUUGGUGGUAGAGACUACUUGUUGAUGUCGGAUGAGGAGUUGAUGAAACAGUGUGAAUUGAGCACUUUCAAGGCUUCAGGUCCUGGUGGACAGCACCGUAACAAGCGUGAAUCAGCUGUGCGUUUGAAGCAUAGCCCAACAGGGAUUAUUGCUCAGGCUGUGGAGGAUAGAUCCCAACACAUGAAUCGUGCGUCUGCUUUAUCUCGAUUGCGAGCGUUACUGGCUCUUAAAGUUAGGAACAACAUAGAUCUUGAUACAUAUACUCCUCCUCAAGAGCUGCUUCAAAUUCUUCCUGCCAAAUCAACAGUCAGGGGCUCAAAUUGUGGCCCUCAAAUUGGACCAAACAAUCCUAAGUUUGCUUUGGGAAUGCAAGCUUUACUGGACCUACUUUUUGCUGUUGAGGGCUCGGUAUCAGAUGCCGCAAAAAAGUUGGGGUUGAGCACAGGGGCUUUAUCAAGGUUGCUAUUAUCUGAUGAUAAUCUCAGAAUGGCUGUGAAUGAGUUUAGAGUAUCCAAGGGUAUAAAGCCUCUAAAAUAGGUCUCGUUCGUGAUGUUAGCAUCCUCAGGAAACAAGUUG